Vicugna pacos (alpaca) is the source of this 1155-nucleotide non-coding RNA. Lineage: Eukaryota; Metazoa; Chordata; Mammalia; Artiodactyla; Camelidae. The record is from RefSeq and is a predicted model, not a curated record.
AUGGACAGCGAGUUGGCCAGUAGGAAGCUAUUUAAGCCCAAACAUCAGCUCUACCUGGCCUUUCUGCCUUCCAAAGUACAGGACACCAGUGCCCGGCACCAGGAGUUACAGGGACAAAAUAUUGUGGAGCACUCUGCGCGCCAGCUCGUAGGCCCUCGCCUCCGACUUUCUGCCUCUGCCGCCGCCGCCGCCGCCGCCGCCGCUGAGGGAGAUCGUGCACCUGCAGGCAGGCCAGUGCGGCAACCAGAUCGGCGCCAGGUUUUGGGAGGUGAUCAGCCACGAGCAUGGCAUCGAUCCUACCGGCACCUACCAUGGGGACAGCGAUCUGCAGCUGGAGCGGAUCAACGUGUACUACAACGAGGCCACCGGUGGCAAGUACGUGCCCCGAGCUGUGCUCGUGGAUCUGGAGCCCGGCACCAUGGACUCUGUGCGCUCGGGGCCCUUCGGGCAGAUCUUCAGGCCGGACAACUUCGUCUUCGGUCAGAGUGGUGCCGGGAACAACUGGGCUAAGGGGCACUACACAGAAGGGGCGGAGCUUGUUGACUCCGUGCUGGAUGUUGUGAGGAAGGAGGCGGAGAGCUGUGACUGCCUGCAGGACUUCCAGCUGACCCACUCCCUGGGUGGGGGGACUGGGUCCGGGAUGGGGACCCUCCUCAUCAGCAAGAUCCGAGAGGAGUACCCCGACCGCAUCAUGAACACCUUCAGCGUGGUGCCCUCACCCAAGGUGUCAGACACCGUGGUGGAGCCCUACAACGCCACCCUGUCAGUGCACCAACUUGUAGAAAACACAGAUGAGACCUAUUGCAUAGAUAACGAGUGGCGCAAGGCCUUCCUGCACUGGUACACGGGCGAGGGCAUGGACGAGAUGGAGUUCACCGAGGCCGAGAGCAACAUGAACGACCUGGUGUCUGAGUACCGGCAGUACCAGGACGCCAGGGCCGAGGAGGAGGGCGAGUUUGAGGAGGAGGCAGAGGAGGAGGUGGCCUAAAGCUGUCUGGUAGCCGGUAAAGCGUGGAAGCCGUGUGAACUCUUUAUUCACUCACAACCUGUUCUCUGAUAGCCUUGUCUCCUUGUGUGUGUAUUUGUUCUUCCUGUCUUGACAUCACAUGCUGUACAGACACCACCAUUAAAGCGUUUUCAUAGUGAAAAAAAAAA